This 1370-nucleotide ribosomal RNA is filed under the name uncultured bacterium. RNAcentral describes it as "bacterial SSU rRNA". It matches the Rfam family "Bacterial small subunit ribosomal RNA", at positions 28 to 1381 of the family's 1533-position model. The record is from RNAcentral.
GACGAACGCUGGCGGCGUGCCUAAUACAUGCAAGUAGAACGCUGAGGUUUGGUGUUUACCUAGACUGAUGAGUUGCGAACGGGUGAGUAACGCGUAGGUAACCUGCCUCAUAGCGGGGGAUAACUAUUGGAAACGAUAGCUAAUACCGCAUAAGAGUAAUUAACACAUGUUAGUUAUUUAAAAGGAGCAAUUGCUUCACUGUGAGAUGGACCUGCGUUGUAUUAGCUAGUUGGUGAGGUAAAGGCUCACCAAGGCGACGAUACAUAGCCGACCUGAGAGGGUGAUCGGCCACACUGGAACUGAGACACGGUCCAGACUCCUACGGGAGGCAGCAGUAGGGAAUCUUCCGCAAUGGGCGAAAGCCUGACGGAGCAACGCCGCGUGAGUGAUGAAGGUCUUCGGAUCGUAAAACUCUGUUAUUAGGGAAGAACAUAUGUGUAAGUAACUGUGCACAUCUUGACGGUACCUAAUCAGAAAGCCACGGCUAACUACGUGCCAGCAGCCGCGGUAAUACGUAGGUGGCAAGCGUUAUCCGGAAUUAUUGGGCGUAAAGCGCGCGUAGGCGGUUUUUUAAGUCUGAUGUGAAAGCCCACGGCUCAACCGUGGAGGGUCAUUGGAAACUGGAAAACUUGAGUGCAGAAGAGGAAAGUGGAAUUCCAUGUGUAGCGGUGAAAUGCGCAGAGAUAUGGAGGAACACCAGUGGCGAAGGCGACUUUCUGGUCUGUAACUGACGCUGAUGUGCGAAAGCGUGGGGAUCAAACAGGAUUAGAUACCCUGGUAGUCCACGCCGUAAACGAUGAGUGCUGAGUGUUAGGGGGUUUCCGCCCCUUAGUGCUGCAGCUAACGCAUUAAGCACUCCGCCUGGGGAGUACGACCGCAAGGUUGAAACUCAAAGGAAUUGACGGGGACCCGCACAAGCGGUGGAGCAUGUGGUUUAAUUCGAAGCAACGCGAAGAACCUUACCAAAUCUUGACAUCCUUUGACAACUCUAGAGAUAGAGCCUUCCCCUUCGGGGGACAAAGUGACAGGUGGUGCAUGGUUGUCGUCAGCUCGUGUCGUGAGAUGUUGGGUUAAGUCCCGCAACGAGCGCAACCCUUAAGCUUAGUUGCCAUCAUUAAGUUGGGCACUCUAAGUUGACUGCCGGUGACAAACCGGAGGAAGGUGGGGAUGACGUCAAAUCAUCAUGCCCCUUAUGAUUUGGGCUACACACGUGCUACAAUGGACAAUACAAAGGGCAGCGAAACCGCGAGGUCAAGCAAAUCCCAUAAAGUUGUUCUCAGUUCGGAUUGUAGUCUGCAACUCGACUACAUGAAGCUGGAAUCGCUAGUAAUCGUAGAUCAGCAUGCUACGGUGAAUACGUUCCCGGGUCU